AGUUGUUCCUCUACUUCUGUUUGUCCUGUAUCUGCUUCUUGUAAUGAUAGCAAAGUUGUUACUUGCCUUCUGUGUCUGUUUCUUGUAGUGAUGACAUCUUGUCUGAUAACAAGGCAGUUCCAUUGCCUUCACAUGUAAAUAGUUCCAUCUGUAAUAAUGAUUUUACAUCUGACAUGAAUUACAUUUGGCACUUAAGACUUG
RNAcentral lists this long non-coding RNA (201 nucleotides) under Nicotiana benthamiana. RNAcentral's name for it is "long non-coding RNA (NBEN_LNC000034)". Lineage: Eukaryota; Viridiplantae; Streptophyta; Magnoliopsida; Solanales; Solanaceae. The record is from RNAcentral.